This is a non-coding RNA of Triticum aestivum (bread wheat), 125 nucleotides long. The record is from Rfam. NCBI's taxonomy places the organism in Eukaryota, Viridiplantae, Streptophyta, Magnoliopsida, Poales, Poaceae.
CUCGUACUCCCUCCGUCCGGAAAUACUUGUCGGAGAAAUGCAUAAAAGUGAAUGUAUCUAGAACCAAAGUACAUCUAGAUACAUACAUUCAUCCAACGAGUAUUUCUGGAUGGAGGGAGUACUAG